This 75-nucleotide small nucleolar RNA is filed under the name Cyprinodon variegatus (sheepshead minnow). RNAcentral's name for it is "Small nucleolar RNA SNORD2 (ENSCVAG00000003167.1)". It matches the Rfam family "Small nucleolar RNA SNORD2". The record is from Rfam by way of RNAcentral. Lineage: Eukaryota; Metazoa; Chordata; Actinopteri; Cyprinodontiformes; Cyprinodontidae.
GAGUGAUAUGAUGGUAUACCAUCUUUCGGGACUGACCUAUGCAAUGGAGAGUUCCUUCUGAUUUACUGAUCACUG